CUUUAUUUCUCCUCUCUCUCGGCCGACACUCUCUCUCUCUAGCUCUCACCUCUCCUUCAUCUUCUCUCCUCAAUUUCACCUCCAUGGAGUAUGAUUCCAAACAAAGUCCGAGAAUUAAAGUUGUUCUACGGAACGAGGGCUAUCUAUCCAUCCAAGAAAAAUUACGAUCGGAUCACGUAGGAGUUUCGGUUUCGCUCGGAUCUUUGGGGUUUUGCUCAAAACCCAUGAGGUACGAUUCAAGGAAGUUGACAUGGAGUACAUGUUGUGCACUUGUGACCAAACCUUUAAAAAGGUAUUCAAGAAGGAUUUCAUAGCACAAGAUCUGAAAUAGCAUUUUUUUUGGAAAGAUAGUAUUUGUAAAUUGUAAUAAUAUUUCUCUAGGAUAUUGGUAUUUUGAUGAUUUAGGGCCUUCGAGUUGGAAUGUAAUUUUUGAAUUUUAUUUGAGAACAGUGAACAAAAAGAUCUUUUGGGGUAUUAUUUGUAUUACAGCAAGGACUUUAUUUAUUAAAAGUGUUUAUUAUUUAUGUUGAAAA
This is a long non-coding RNA of Rhododendron vialii, 533 nucleotides long. RefSeq lists it as uncharacterized. NCBI's taxonomy places the organism in Eukaryota, Viridiplantae, Streptophyta, Magnoliopsida, Ericales, Ericaceae. The record is from RefSeq and is a predicted model, not a curated record. The transcript is spliced from 2 exons.